This 2571-nucleotide ribosomal RNA is filed under the name Escherichia coli. RNAcentral's name for it is "bacterial LSU rRNA". It matches the Rfam family "Bacterial large subunit ribosomal RNA", at positions 398 to 2925 of the family's 2925-position model. The record is from RNAcentral. Lineage: Bacteria; Pseudomonadati; Pseudomonadota; Gammaproteobacteria; Enterobacterales; Enterobacteriaceae.
UGUGAGCUCGAUGAGUAGGGCGGGACACGUGGUAUCCUGUCUGAAUAUGGGGGGACCAUCCUCCAAGGCUAAAUACUCCUGACUGACCGAUAGUGAACCAGUACCGUGAGGGAAAGGCGAAAAGAACCCCGGCGAGGGGAGUGAAAAAGAACCUGAAACCGUGUACGUACAAGCAGUGGGAGCACGCUUAGGCGUGUGACUGCGUACCUUUUGUAUAAUGGGUCAGCGACUUAUAUUCUGUAGCAAGGUUAACCGAAUAGGGGAGCCGAAGGGAAACCGAGUCUUAACUGGGCGUUAAGUUGCAGGGUAUAGACCCGAAACCCGGUGAUCUAGCCAUGGGCAGGUUGAAGGUUGGGUAACACUAACUGGAGGACCGAACCGACUAAUGUUGAAAAAUUAGCGGAUGACUUGUGGCUGGGGGUGAAAGGCCAAUCAAACCGGGAGAUAGCUGGUUCUCCCCGAAAGCUAUUUAGGUAGCGCCUCGUGAAUUCAUCUCCGGGGGUAGAGCACUGUUUCGGCAAGGGGGUCAUCCCGACUUACCAACCCGAUGCAAACUGCGAAUACCGGAGAAUGUUAUCACGGGAGACACACGGCGGGUGCUAACGUCCGUCGUGAAGAGGGAAACAACCCAGACCGCCAGCUAAGGUCCCAAAGUCAUGGUUAAGUGGGAAACGAUGUGGGAAGGCCCAGACAGCCAGGAUGUUGGCUUAGAAGCAGCCAUCAUUUAAAGAAAGCGUAAUAGCUCACUGGUCGAGUCGGCCUGCGCGGAAGAUGUAACGGGGCUAAACCAUGCACCGAAGCUGCGGCAGCGACGCUGAUGCGUUGUAAUGCGUUGUUGGGUAGGGGAGCGUUCUGUAAGCCUGUGAAGGUGUGCUGUGAGGCAUGCUGGAGGUAUCAGAAGUGCGAAUGCUGACAUAAGUAACGAUAAAGCGGGUGAAAAGCCCGCUCGCCGGAAGACCAAGGGUUCCUGUCCAACGUUAAUCGGGGCAGGGUGAGUCGACCCCUAAGGCGAGGCCGAAAGGCGUAGUCGAUGGGAAACAGGUUAAUAUUCCUGUACUUGGUGUUACUGCGAAGGGGGGACGGAGAAGGCUAUGUUGGCCGGGCGACGGUUGUCCCGGUUUAAGCGUGUAGGCUGGUUUUCCAGGCAAAUCCGGAAAAUCAAGGCUGAGGCGUGAUGACGAGGCACUACGGUGCUGAAGCAACAAAUGCCCUGCUUCCAGGAAAAGCCUCUAAGCAUCAGGUAACAUCAAAUCGUACCCCAAACCGACACAGGUGGUCAGGUAGAGAAUACCAAGGCGCUUGAGAGAACUCGGGUGAAGGAACUAGGCAAAAUGGUGCCGUAACUUCGGGAGAAGGCACGCUGAUAUGUAGGUGAAGUCCCUCGCGGAUGGAGCUGAAAUCAGUCGAAGAUACCAGCUGGCUGCAACUGUUUAUUAAAAACACAGCACUGUGCAAACACGAAAGUGGACGUAUACGGUGUGACGCCUGCCCGGUGCCGGAAGGUUAAUUGAUGGGGUUAGCCGCAAGGCGAAGCUCUUGAUCGAAGCCCCGGUAAACGGCGGCCGUAACUAUAACGGUCCUAAGGUAGCGAAAUUCCUUGUCGGGUAAGUUCCGACCUGCACGAAUGGCGUAAUGAUGGCCAGGCUGUCUCCACCCGAGACUCAGUGAAAUUGAACUCGCUGUGAAGAUGCAGUGUACCCGCGGCAAGACGGAAAGACCCCGUGAACCUUUACUAUAGCUUGACACUGAACAUUGAGCCUUGAUGUGUAGGAUAGGUGGGAGGCUUAGAAGUGUGGACGCCAGUCUGCAUGGAGCCGACCUUGAAAUACCACCCUUUAAUGUUUGAUGUUCUAACGUUGACCCGUAAUCCGGGUUGCGGACAGUGUCUGGUGGGUAGUUUGACUGGGGCGGUCUCCUCCUAAAGAGUAACGGAGGAGCACGAAGGUUGGCUAAUCCUGGUCGGACAUCAGGAGGUUAGUGCAAUGGCAUAAGCCAGCUUGACUGCGAGCGUGACGGCGCGAGCAGGUGCGAAAGCAGGUCAUAGUGAUCCGGUGGUUCUGAAUGGAAGGGCCAUCGCUCAACGGAUAAAAGGUACUCCGGGGAUAACAGGCUGAUACCGCCCAAGAGUUCAUAUCGACGGCGGUGUUUGGCACCUCGAUGUCGGCUCAUCACAUCCUGGGGCUGAAGUAGGUCCCAAGGGUAUGGCUGUUCGCCAUUUAAAGUGGUACGCGAGCUGGGUUUAGAACGUCGUGAGACAGUUCGGUCCCUAUCUGCCGUGGGCGCUGGAGAACUGAGGGGGGCUGCUCCUAGUACGAGAGGACCGGAGUGGACGCAUCACUGGUGUUCGGGUUGUCAUGCCAAUGGCACUGCCCGGUAGCUAAAUGCGGAAGAGAUAAGUGCUGAAAGCAUCUAAGCACGAAACUUGCCCCGAGAUGAGUUCUCCCUGACUCCUUGAGAGUCCUGAAGGAACGUUGAAGACGACGACGUUGAUAGGCCGGGUGUGUAAGCGCAGCGAUGCGUUGAGCUAACCGGUACUAAUGAACCGUGAGGCUUAACCUUACAACGCCGAAG